This 205-nucleotide unclassified non-coding RNA is filed under the name Hevea brasiliensis (rubber tree). Lineage: Eukaryota; Viridiplantae; Streptophyta; Magnoliopsida; Malpighiales; Euphorbiaceae. The record is from RNAcentral.
AUCUUAGAAGACCUAGCGCAUGAAAUUAAUGCAUCUGUUGGUGUGAAGAUGCAUAAGUUAGGUGUUUGUGAGUGGGAGGUGAAACUUUGGGUGUCAUCUGCAGGAGAUGCAACUGGUGCUUGGAGGAUUUUGGUUGCAAAUGUGACAGGUCACACCUGCAUUGUUCAUAUUUAUCGAGAAGUUGAAGAUACAAGAAAACAAAGAG